GUGGAUUAGAUACCCGGGUAGUCCACGCCGUAAACGAUGGGCACUAGGCGUCGGGGGGAGCGACCCUCCCGGUGCCGUCGCUAACGCAAUAAGUGCCCCGCCUGGGGAGUACGGCCGCAAGGUUGAAACUCAAAGGAAUUGACGGGGGCCCGCACAAGCGGUGGAGCAUGUGGUUUAAUUCGAUGCAACGCGAAGAACCUUACCUGGGCUUGACAUGCACGGGAAAGCCGGUGGAAACACCGGGCCUCCUUCGGGACCCGCGCACAGGUGCUGCACGGCUGUCGUCAGCU
RNAcentral lists this ribosomal RNA (290 nucleotides) under uncultured bacterium. RNAcentral describes it as "partial 16S ribosomal RNA". It matches the Rfam family "Bacterial small subunit ribosomal RNA", at positions 773 to 1060 of the family's 1533-position model. The record is from RNAcentral.